UACGGAGGAUCCGAGCGUUAUCCGGAUUUAUUGGGUUUAAAGGGUGCGCAGGCGGGAUGUUAAGUCGGCGGUGAAAUUUUGCAGCUCAACUGUAAAAGUGCCUUCGAUACUGGCUUUCUUGAGUGUGGAUGAAGUAGGCGGAAUUUGUGGUGUAGAGGUGAAAUGCUUAGAUAUCACGAGGAACUCCGAUUGCGCAGGCAGCUUACUAAACCACUACUGACGCUCAUGCACGAAGGCGUGGGGAUCAAACAGGAUUAGAUA
This 261-nucleotide ribosomal RNA is filed under the name uncultured prokaryote. Its description in RNAcentral is "partial 16S ribosomal RNA". It matches the Rfam family "Bacterial small subunit ribosomal RNA", at positions 524 to 784 of the family's 1533-position model. The record is from RNAcentral.